Molecule: ribosomal RNA, 1944 nt
Filed under: Francisella tularensis subsp. holarctica
Lineage: Bacteria; Pseudomonadati; Pseudomonadota; Gammaproteobacteria; Thiotrichales; Francisellaceae
Description: partial 23S ribosomal RNA
Rfam family: Bacterial large subunit ribosomal RNA
Source: RNAcentral
UUAAGAAAAUAAGUGCAAGCGGUGGAUGCCUUGGCAUUCAGAGGCGAUGAAGGACGUGAUAAUCUGCGAUAAGCUUCGGUUAGCUGGUAAAUGAGCUAUGACCCGGAGAUUUCCGAAUGGGGGAACCCACCUGACACAAGUUGGGUACUCACUCGAUAUAGAGUGUAGAGCGAACGAGGGGAACUGAAACAUCUAAGUACCCUUAGGAAGAGAAAUCAAUUGAGAUUCCCGUAGUAGUGGCGAGCGAAGUGGGAAGAGCCUGGUAUGAUUUAGCUGUAAUUAUAGUAGAACAAGUUGGGAAGCUUGACGAUAGAGGGUGAUAGUCCCGUAUACGAAAUAAUCACAGUGGAACUAAGCAUACGAACAAGUAGGACGGGGCACGUGGAACCUUGUCUGAAUAUGGGGGGACCAUCCUCCAAGGCUAAAUACUCCUGAAUGACCGAUAGUGAACUAGUACCGUGAGGGAAAGGUGAAAAGAACCCUUAUAAAGGGAGUGAAAUAGAAUCUGAAACCGCUUGCAUACAAGCAGUAGGAGCAUGAUUUAGUCAUGUGACUGCGUACCUUUUGUAUAAUGGGUCAGCGAGUUAUUUUUAGUGGCGAGGAUAACUGAAUAAGGGAUCCGUAGCGAAAGCGAGUUUUAAUAGGGCGACUAGUCGCUAGGAGUAGACCCGAAACCGGCGCGAUCUAUCCAUGGCCAGGUUGAAGAUUAGGUAGUACUAAUUGGAGGACCGAACCCAAUACUGUUGCAAAAGUAUGGGAUGAGCUGUGGAUCGGAGUGAAAGGCUAAUCAAGCACGGAGAUAGCUGGUUCUCCCCGAAAACUAUUUAGGUAGUGCCUCGUGUAUAACUCAUUGGGGUAAAGCACUGUUUCGACAAUGGGGGUUUUACGACCUUACUGACUCGAUGCAAACUCAGAAUACGAUGAAGUUCGAUCACGGGAGACACACUGCGGGUGCUAAGGUCCGCAGUGGAAAGGGAAACAGCCCAGACCGCCAACUAAGGUCCCAAAGUCAUAGCUAAGUGGGAAACGAAGUGGGAAGGCCCAGACAGCCAGGAGGUUGGCUUAGAAGCAGCCACCCUUUAAAGAAAGCGUAAUAGCUCACUGGUCGAGUCGGCCUGCACGUAAGAUUUAACGGGGCUAAGCUAUGCACUGAAGUUGCGGAAUAUAUUUAGUAUAUUGGUAGGGGAGCGUUCUGUAAGCCGAUGAAGGUGAAUUGAGAAGUUUGCUGGAGGUAUCAGAAGUGCGAAUGCUGACAUGAGUAACGUAAAAUAAGUGAGAUUCUUAUUGGCCGAAAACCCAAGGGUUCCUACGCAAUGUUAAUCAACGUAGGGUAAGCCGGCCCCUAAGGCGUAGCUGAAGAGUGAAGUCGAUGGGAAACAGGUUAAUAUUCCUGUGCUGCUUAUAUGAACGAAGGAGGGACGGAGAAGGUUAGGUAGGCCUGGCGAAUGGUUGUCCAGGUGAAAGUAUGUAGGUAGGAAUGCUAGGCAAAUCCGGUGUUCUGUUGAUCUGAGAUACGAGACGAAGUUAAACUUGUUUGACGAAGCUAUUGAUACCAUGCUUCCAGGAAAAGCUUCUAAGUAUAUUGUAUAAGUGACCGUACUGUAAACCGACACUGGUGGGUAGGUAGAGAAUACUAAGGCUAUGAGAUAACUCUGGUGAAGGAACUAGGCAAAAUGACACCGUAACUUUGGAAGAAGGUGUGCCCUUGAUGGUGAUGAGACUUGCUCUUUGAGCUGUUGGGGGUUGCAGAUACCAGGUGGCUGCGACUGUUUAUCAAAAACACAGCACUCUGCGAAAUCGUAAGAUGAAGUAUAGGGUGUGACGCCUGCCCGGUGCUGGAAGGUUAAUUGAAGGGGUUAGCGCAAGCGAAGCUCUGGAUCGAAGCCCCAGUAAACGGCGGCCGUAACUAUAACGGUCCUAAGGUAGCGAAAUUCCUUGUCGGGU